UUUUUUUUCACCCGCGCGCGUGUUUGAUCCUGUUUGUGUGGCGCAGUUGAAAUCGAGAAUACUUAAGUCGAAUCGCGUGUGCUCGUGAAGGAAGUUGUUCCGGCGUUCGUUCAACAUGGUUCUGAUGGACAAAUCCACCGGGUGACCGAACCGGAACGGCUCUGGGAUGGCGGAAUUUUCGCAUAUUUGGGGACUUCUUCUACCAGGCCCGGCGCCUGCUGCGGACACUUCCGGCCGGAUUUGUUCAGGAUGGUCGUUUCGUCUGGAGGCGAAAAUCGUUAGAGGCCUAUUUCACUAAGGAUUGUGCUUCACAAAUACGCGAGAGUCCGCAGUAGAUCCGGCACCGGCUACAAACAUUUCGAACAAC
This is a long non-coding RNA of Culex pipiens pallens (northern house mosquito), 367 nucleotides long. RefSeq lists it as uncharacterized. The record is from RefSeq and is a predicted model, not a curated record. NCBI's taxonomy places the organism in Eukaryota, Metazoa, Arthropoda, Insecta, Diptera, Culicidae. The transcript is spliced from 3 exons.